RNAcentral lists this transfer RNA (87 nucleotides) under SAR324 cluster bacterium. RNAcentral describes it as "tRNA-Leu". It matches the Rfam family "tRNA". Rfam says of the family: Transfer RNA (tRNA) molecules are approximately 80 nucleotides in length. Their secondary structure includes four short double-helical elements and three loops (D, anti-codon, and T loops). RNAcentral also lists the same sequence under 2 other names. Lineage: Bacteria; Deltaproteobacteria. The record is from RNAcentral.
GCGAGUGUGGCGAAACUGGUAAACGCACAGGACUUAAAAUCCUGCGGUUUAAUAACCUUGUCGGUUCAAGUCCGACCACUCGCACCA